UUUGUGUCCGGAUGCGUGUCUGACAAAUACAGAUGAAAUCACUGGCCCGGCUCUGGAUCUUUUCUCGGCGGAGGAGGCUGCUUCCGGGUGGGGGCGGGGCAGCGCGUGGGGGACGGGCGGUCGCCCAGGCAACGCCAGUCGUGGCGGAGAAGCGGACGAUGGCUCAUAGAGCGAAGGGGGCGGCGGCCGCCUUGCCGCGGGGGAAGCUCGGCCCGAAGCUGGAGCUCAGCGCGGCCCACAAGCAGCAGAUGCGGGAGGCCUUCGACCUGCUGGACGCGGACGGGACCGGCACCAUCGACGUGCAGGACCUGAAGGCGAGCGGGCCCCGCUGCGGGGGGGGAGCGCUGGGCGGGGCUCUCCCUUCGCCCCUCUCGUCCUCACCGCCUCCCCCCGCCCAGGUGUCCAUCCGCGCCCUGGGCUUCGACCCUCCCAAGGAGGAGCUGCGCCGGCUCGUGGCCGAGGUGGACAAGGAGGGCGCGGGCAAGAUCGGCUUCGACGCCUUCUACUCCGUCAUGGCCCAGAAGAUGUCGGAAACCGACUCCCAAGAGGACGUCCUGAAGGCCUUCCAGCUCUUCGUGGACAAGGACAGCGGCCGGAUCGCCUUCGGGAACCUGAAGCGGAUCGCGGCUGAGAUCGGGGAGACGCCCACCGACGAAGAGCUGCAGGUGGGCUCGCCCCCCCUCCCCGCCAGCCCCCCUUUGGGAGGCCCUGCGGAGGAGGGCCUGCCCGCUGUCCGCGCAGGCUCCGCCCUCUUUCUCUGCCCCACAGGAAAUGAUUGACGCAGCCGACCUGGACGGAGACGGGCAGGUGAGCGAGCAGGAGUUCCUGAGGGUCCUGAGGAGGCGCGAUUUCUAGCUGUUCCCACAGCUGGAUUUGGGAGUUCCUGCAUGCAAAGCAGGUCAUCUGCCCAGACGUGUGAAUGAGGGAUUGGUUUUUCUUCACUCAGACAACAUAUUGUGUGAGCCCAGCCACAGCUUCCCAGGCUAAAUAAGGAUUCUGGCUGAGGAGCAUCUGACGAUCAAAAGAGAUACAGACACCUUCAGCAGGAGAGAACCCACUAAAAAUCAAAAGCACAGGAAUUGCCUGAAUUUUUGUGACAGGGCAAAAUGUCCACAGAACUGGGGGGGAGGAGGGGGGCAGAAGGUGCCCAACAGGUGGGAGUGGUUGGACUGUCAGCUUUCCCUCCUCUGCUGAAUGGGAUGGUUUAUUCUGAUGGUUUGCAAAAAUUUUUGCCAAAGGGGGAGGGGCAGCUCUGCACAUAGAUAACGCCUGCCUGUCAGGCCUUGAAAAAUAAAGUUGUAUACGUUGGAA
Molecule: RNA transcript, 1311 nt
Organism: Crotalus tigris (Tiger rattlesnake)
Lineage: Eukaryota; Metazoa; Chordata; Lepidosauria; Squamata; Viperidae
Gene name: caltractin-like
Exons: 4
Source: RefSeq, a predicted model, not a curated record